AUUGAACGCUGGCGGCAGGCCUAACACAUGCAAGUCGAGCGGAUGAAGGGGGCUUGCUCCUGGAUUCAGCGGCGGACGGGUGAGUAAUGCCUAGGAAUCUGCCUGGUAGUGGGGGAUAACGUCCGGAAACGGGCGCUAAUCCCGCAUACGUCCUGAGGGAGAAAGUGGGGGAUCUUCGGACCUCACGCUAUCAGAUGAGCCUAGGUCGGAUUAGCUAGUUGGUGGGGUAAAGGCCUACCAAGGCGACGAUCCGUAACUGGUCUGAGAGGAUGAUCAGUCACACUGGAACUGAGACACGGUCCAGACUCCUACGGGAGGCAGCAGUGGGGAAUAUUGGACAAUGGGCGAAAGCCUGAUCCAGCCAUGCCGCGUGUGUGAAGAAGGUCUUCGGAUUGUAAAGCACUUUAAGUUGGGAGGAAGGGCAGUAAGUUAAUACCUUGCUGUUUUGACGGUACCAACAGAAUAAGCACCGGCUAACUUCGUG
Molecule: ribosomal RNA, 484 nt
Filed under: uncultured bacterium
Lineage: Bacteria
Description: partial 16S ribosomal RNA
Rfam family: Bacterial small subunit ribosomal RNA
Source: RNAcentral